AUUGAACGCUGGCGGCAGGCCUAACACAUGCAAGUCGAGCGGAUGAAGGGAGCUUGCUCCUGGAUUCAGCGGCGGACGGGUGAGUAAUGCCUAGGAAUCUGCCUGGUAGUGGGGGAUAACGUCCGGAAACGGGCGCUAAUACCGCAUACGUCCUGAGGGAGAAAGUGGGGGAUCUUCGGACCUCACGCUAUCAGAUGAGCCUAGGUCGGAUUAGCUAGUUGGUGGGGUAAAGGCCUACCAAGGCGACGAUCCGUAACUGGUCUGAGAGGAUGAUCAGUCACCCUGGACCUGGGCCCCGUCCCGGCCCCCUACGGGAGGCGGCAGUGGGAAUUUUUGACAAUGGGCGAAAGCCUGAUCCAGCCAUGCCGCGUGUGUGAAGAAGGUCUUCGGAUUGUAAAGCACUUUAAGUUGGGAGGAAGGGCAGUAAGUUAAUACCUUGCUGUUUUGACGUUACCAACAGAAUAAGCACCGGCUAACUUCGUG
This 483-nucleotide ribosomal RNA is filed under the name uncultured bacterium. RNAcentral describes it as "partial 16S ribosomal RNA". It matches the Rfam family "Bacterial small subunit ribosomal RNA", at positions 30 to 507 of the family's 1533-position model. The record is from RNAcentral.